Molecule: unclassified non-coding RNA, 193 nt
Filed under: uncultured Perenniporia
Lineage: Eukaryota; Fungi; Basidiomycota; Agaricomycetes; Polyporales; Polyporaceae
Description: sequence contains ITS2
Source: RNAcentral
AAUCUUCAACCUAUAAACCUUUGCGGGUUUGUAGGCUUGGAUUUGGAGGCUUGUCGGCCUAACGGUCGGCUCCUCUUAAAUGCAUUAGCUUGAUUCCUUGCGGAUCGGCUCUCGGUGUGAUAAUUGUCUACGCCGCGACCGUGAAGCGUUUGGCGAGCUUCUAAUCGUCUCUUAUGAGACAACACAUUGACCU